RNAcentral lists this non-coding RNA (426 nucleotides) under Pongo abelii (Sumatran orangutan). The record is from RNAcentral. Lineage: Eukaryota; Metazoa; Chordata; Mammalia; Primates; Hominidae.
CACGUGCCUCGGCCGUGAGGAGGAGGAGGGAUGCAAGCUUCGCUCCUCUACCCUGGUGCCCAGCAGGCGUACACCACCACAUGCCUACUAGCAAGCCACGGGGAGGAGGACCUAGUGCCGAACCCACAGCCCUGGCCUCCGUGGACAUGCCUCCCCCCCACCCCAGCAGGUAACAGAUGACCCCUAGAGAGCGCCCCCACUGUCUAUCCCGAGGUCCAAGCUUGCAGAGGCCACUCUGAAGUUGGCUGUCCAUCGGCCUCUUAACUGGGCUGUUUUUCGUCCAACUUCUCUACUGCACCCCUCCACCACCAUAUUAACUGGAACAUUUGGGGUUGAAGUGACAGAACUCCCAAACAAAUAGGUUUGAGCUCUACCCCGUCUCUACCAAAAAAAACAAAACAAAAAAAACAAAACAAACAAAAAAAA